RNAcentral lists this ribosomal RNA (402 nucleotides) under uncultured Sphingomonas sp. Its description in RNAcentral is "bacterial SSU rRNA". It matches the Rfam family "Bacterial small subunit ribosomal RNA", at positions 355 to 774 of the family's 1533-position model. The record is from RNAcentral. Lineage: Bacteria; Pseudomonadati; Pseudomonadota; Alphaproteobacteria; Sphingomonadales; Sphingomonadaceae.
UGGGGAAUAUUGGACAAUGGGCGAAAGCCUGAUCCAGCAAUGCCGCGUGAGUGAUGAAGGCCUUAGGGUUGUAAAGCUCUUUUACCCGGGAUGAUAAUGACAGUACCGGGAGAAUAAGCCCCGGCUAACUCCGUGCCAGCAGCCGCGGUAAUACGGAGGGGGCUAGCGUUGUUCGGAAUUACUGGGCGUAAAGCGCACGUAGGCGGCUUUGUAAGUUAGAGGUGAAAGCCCGGGGCUCAACUCCGGAAUUGCCUUUAAGACUGCAUCGCUUGAAUUGUGGAGAGGUAAGUGGAAUUCCGAGUGUAGAGGUGAAAUUCGUAGAUAUUCGGAAGAACACCAGUGGCGAAGGCGACUUACUGGACACAUAUUGACGCUGAGGUGCGAAAGCGUGGGGAGCAAACA